Molecule: ribosomal RNA, 425 nt
Filed under: uncultured bacterium
Lineage: Bacteria
Description: bacterial SSU rRNA
Rfam family: Bacterial small subunit ribosomal RNA
Source: RNAcentral
GUUAGGAAUAUUGGACAAUGGGCGCAAGCCUGAUCCAGCCAUGCCGCGUGAGUGAUGAAGGCCUUCGGGUUGUAAAGCUCUUUAGCCGAUGAUUAUAAUGACUGUAGUCGGAAAAUAAGCCCCGGCUAACUUCGUGCCAGCAGCCGCGGUAAUACGAAGGGGGCGAGCGUUAUUCGGAAUCACUGGGCGUAAAGCGUGCGUAGGCGGCUUUGCAAGUUGGGAGUGAAAGCCCAGGGCUCAACCCUGGAAUUGCUCUCAAAACUGCAAGGGUCAAAUUCGGGAGAGGAUAGCGGAAUUGUCAGUGUAGCAGUGAAAUGCGUAGAUAUUGACAGGAACACCAGUGGCGUAAGCGGCUAUCUGGACCGAUAUUGACGCUGAGGCACGAAAGCGUGGGGAUCAAACAGGAUUAGAUACCCGAGUAGUCC